UAGCAGGCUCAAAUGAAUAAGCUGUACCUG
RNAcentral lists this non-coding RNA (30 nucleotides) under Rattus norvegicus (Norway rat). Lineage: Eukaryota; Metazoa; Chordata; Mammalia; Rodentia; Muridae. The record is from RNAcentral.